GACAGAGGGGGCAAGCGUUGCUCGGAAUUACUGGGCGUAAAGGGCGCGUAGGCGGGAUGGCAAGUCGGUCGUGAAAUCCCUCGGCUCAACUGAGGAGCGUCGAUCGAAACUGCCGUUCUUGAGGGUUGCAGAGGAGACUGGAAUUCCCGGUGUAGCGGUGAAAUGUGUAGAGAUCGGGAGGAACACCGGUGGCGAAGGCGGGUCUCUGGGCAACUCCUGACGCUGAGGAGCGAAAGCGUGGGGAGCGAACAGG
Molecule: ribosomal RNA, 253 nt
Filed under: uncultured bacterium
Lineage: Bacteria
Description: partial 16S ribosomal RNA
Rfam family: Bacterial small subunit ribosomal RNA
Source: RNAcentral